RNAcentral lists this long non-coding RNA (1065 nucleotides) under Anser brachyrhynchus (Pink-footed goose). RNAcentral describes it as "lncRNA (ENSABRG00000006854.1)". Lineage: Eukaryota; Metazoa; Chordata; Aves; Anseriformes; Anatidae. The record is from RNAcentral.
AUUUCUGGCACUUCAGCGAAACCCCGAAACAUCUCGGCUGCGGUUUGGGGCCGUUUGGGGGCAUUUUGGGGCUGCGCGCGGACAUUUGGGGCAGCUCGGAAGCACCGGGGGCAAUUUGGGGGCCGUUUUGAGGGGUUUGGGGGACAUUUAGGGCGUUUGGGGGCGUUUGGGAGGUCUUCGGAGAAGCCCAUGCGCGCUUUGGGGCAGUUUCGGUGCAUUUUGGUGAACUUUGGGUGCAGUUCGGGCCAUUUCAGAGCUCUUCGGUUCCAUUUGGGGCCAUUUUGGUUCCAUUUGGGGCCAAUUUGGGUGCAUUUGGGGCCAAUUUGGGUGCAUUUGGGGCCAUUUUGGGCCUGCUUACAUGAAAUUGGCCCCUAGGGAUAAUUUUGGGACCAUUUGGGGGCAUUUUGGGUCGUUUUAGCGCUGUUUAACCGAGUUUUGGGCCUGUUCACCUGCACUUGGGACCAUUUUGGGACCAUUGGGGCACAUUUUGGGUCAACUCAGUGCAGUCUGGCUGCGUCUUGGGCCUAUUCAAGCCCAUUUUGGUGCACUUUAGGCCUUUUUGGGCCCUUUUUAGGGCCAUUUACCCACAUUUUGCUGCACUUUGGGUCACUCGGGGCCCAUUUUGUCACAUUUUACCCCACUUACCCACAUUCUGCUGCACUUUGGGCCUUUUGGGUCUCUUUUCAGCCCCCUUUACCCACGUUUUGCUGCCCUGUGGGUCACUUGGGGCCCGUUUGGUUGCAUUUUACCCCCGUUUACCCACAUUUCGGUACACUUCGGGCCAUUUGCGUUCCCUUUUAGGGCCAUUUACGCACAUUUUAGUGCACUUUGGGCCCACUUGUUCAUAUUUUACUCCCCUUACCCACAUUUUGCUGCACUUUGUGCCACUUGACGCCCGUUUGAUCACACUUUACCCCCAUUUACCCACACUUUUGUACACCUUACCUACACUUCACCCCCUCCGACACCCCUUCCCAGCCCCUCCUCCCCCAGCGCCGGGCCCUCAGGACCUUUGGGGUGCGGACCAGGAUUUUGGGGCGAGACCCGGCAUUUUCGGGGCCGGGG